This 440-nucleotide ribosomal RNA is filed under the name uncultured bacterium. RNAcentral describes it as "bacterial SSU rRNA". It matches the Rfam family "Bacterial small subunit ribosomal RNA", at positions 340 to 773 of the family's 1533-position model. The record is from RNAcentral.
UACGGAAGGCAGCAGUGGGGAAUAUUGCACAAUGGGCGCAAGCCUGAUGCAGCCAUGCCGCGUGUAUGAAGAAGGCCUUCGGGUUGUAAAGUACUUUCAGUCGUGAGGAAGGUGUUAAGGUUAAUAACCUUAGCAAUUGACGUUAGCGACAGAAGAAGCACCGGCUAACUCCGUGCCAGCAGCCGCGGUAAUACGGGAGGGUGCGAGCGUUAAUCGGAAUUACUGGGCGUAAAGGGCACGCAGGCGGUUAAUUAAGUUGGAUGUGAAAUCCCCGGGCUUAACCUGGGAAUGGCAUUCAAGACUGGUUAGCUAGAGUCUUGUAGAGGGGGUAGAAUUCCAUGUGUAGCGGUGAAAUGCGUAGAGAUGUGGAGGAAUACCGGUGGCGAAGGCGGCCCCUGGACAAAGACUGACGCUCAUGUGCGAAAGCGUGGGGAGCAAAC